UGGGGAAUAUUGGGCAAUGGGCGCAAGCCUGACCCAGCAACGCCGCGUGAAGGAAGAAGGCCCUCGGGUUGUAAACUUCUUUUAUCAGGGACGAAACAAAUGACGGUACCUGAUGAAUAAGCCACGGCUAACUACGUGCCAGCAGCCGCGGUAAUACGUAGGUGGCAAGCGUUAUCCGGAUUUACUGGGUGUAAAGGGCGUGUAGGCGGGUCUGCAAGUCAGAUGUGAAAUUUCAGGGCUCAACCCUGAACCUGCAUUUGAAACUGUAGAUCUUGAGUGAUGGAGAGGCAGGCGGAAUUCCGUGUGUAGCGGUGAAAUGCGUAGAUAUACGGAGGAACACCAGUGGCGAAGGCGGCCUGCUGGACAUUAACUGACGCUGAGGCGCGAAAGCGUGGGGAGCAAACAGGAUUAGAUACC
Molecule: ribosomal RNA, 417 nt
Filed under: uncultured bacterium
Lineage: Bacteria
Description: bacterial SSU rRNA
Rfam family: Bacterial small subunit ribosomal RNA
Source: RNAcentral